Molecule: ribosomal RNA, 253 nt
Filed under: uncultured bacterium
Lineage: Bacteria
Description: partial 16S ribosomal RNA
Rfam family: Bacterial small subunit ribosomal RNA
Source: RNAcentral
UACGGAGGGGGCGAGCGUUGUCCGAAGUUACUGGGCGUAAAGCGCGCGUAGGCGGGUUGGCAAGUCCGCUGUGAAAGCCCGAGGCUUAACCUCGGCGGGUCGGUGGAUACUGCCAGUCUUGAAGGUGCUAGGGGGAAAUGGAAUUACCGGUGUAGCGGUGAAAUGCGUAGAUAUCGGUAGGAACACCAGUGGCGAAGGCGGCAUCCUGGACCGACAUUGACGCUGAGGAGCGAAAGCUAGGGGAGCAAACGGG